Podarcis lilfordi (Lilford's wall lizard) is the source of this 69-nucleotide non-coding RNA. The record is from the annotation of a GenBank genome assembly. NCBI's taxonomy places the organism in Eukaryota, Metazoa, Chordata, Lepidosauria, Squamata, Lacertidae.
ACCAUAGCUCAGUGGUAGAGCAUCUGCUUUGCAUACAGAAGGUCCCAAGUUCAAUUCCCACUAUCUCCA